GAUGAACGCUGGCGGCGUGCCUAAUACAUGCAAGUCGAGCGAACAGACGAGGAGCUUGCUCCUCUGACGUUAGCGGCGGACGGGUGAGUAACACGUGGAUAACCUACCUAUAAGACUGGGAUAACUUCGGGAAACCGGAGCUAAUACCGUAUAAUAUAUUGAACCGCAUGGGUCAAUAGUGAAAGACGGUUUUGCUGUCACGUAUAGAUGGAUCCGCGCCGCAUUAGCUAGUUGGUAAGGUAACGGCUUACCACGGCAACGAUGCGUAGCCGACCUGUGAGGGUGGUCGCCCACACUGGAACUGAGACACGGUCCAGACUCCUGCGGGAGGCAGCAGUAGGGAAUCUUCCGCAAAGGGCGGAAGCCUGACGGAGCAACGCCGCGUGAGUGAUGAAGGUCUUCGGAUCGUAAAACUCUGUUAUUAGGGAAGAACAAAUGUGUAAGUAACUAUGCACGUAUUGACGGUACCUAAUCAGAAAGCCACGGCUAACUACGUG
This 497-nucleotide ribosomal RNA is filed under the name uncultured bacterium. RNAcentral's name for it is "partial 16S ribosomal RNA". It matches the Rfam family "Bacterial small subunit ribosomal RNA", at positions 28 to 507 of the family's 1533-position model. The record is from RNAcentral.